Molecule: long non-coding RNA, 235 nt
Organism: Dermacentor silvarum
Lineage: Eukaryota; Metazoa; Arthropoda; Arachnida; Ixodida; Ixodidae
Exons: 2
Source: RefSeq, a predicted model, not a curated record
UCCUGGGGCAUGAAGGGCACUGAAAUGGCCUCUCGCCUGUGUGGGUGCGCAGGUGUCGGUCCAGACUACUCUUUUGUGAGAAGCUCUGAGGGCAGGCAGGGCACUGAAAUGGCUUCUCACCCGAGUGGAUGUGCAUGUGAAGCUUCAGUCUGCAGUUUCUUGAAAAGCUCCAAGGGCAUAAUGGGCACUGAAACGGCAUGUCACCCGUGUAGAUGUGCAGGUGUCGCUUCAGGUA